This 439-nucleotide ribosomal RNA is filed under the name uncultured bacterium. Its description in RNAcentral is "bacterial SSU rRNA". It matches the Rfam family "Bacterial small subunit ribosomal RNA", at positions 8 to 430 of the family's 1533-position model. The record is from RNAcentral.
AGAGUUUGAUCCUGGCUCAGAACGAACGCUGGCGGCGUGCCUAACACAUGCAAGUCGAGCGCGAAAAGGACUUCGGUCCCCAGUAGAGCGGCGCACGGGUGAGUAACACGUGGAUAAUCUGCCCUCAGGACCGGGAUAACUCAGGGAAACUUGAGCUAAUACCGGAUAAGACCACGGAACGAGAGUUCCGGGGGGAAAAGCAGGGGCCUACUUCGGUAGCCUUGCACCAGAGGAUGAGUCCGCGGCCCAUCAGCUAGUUGGCGGGGUAACGGCCCACCAAGGCUAAGACGGGUAGCUGGUCUGAGAGGAUGACCAGCCACACUGGAACUGAGACACGGUCCAGACUCCUACGGGAGGCAGCAGUGGGGAAUAUCGCGCAAUGGGGGAAACCCUGACGCAGCAACGCCGCGUGAGUGAUGAAGGUCUUCGGAUCGUAAGG